AGAAUGAACGCUGGCGGCGUGCCUAACACAUGCAAGUCGCACGAGAAGGGGGCCUUCGGGCUCCUUGUAAAGUGGCGAACGGGUGAGUAACGCGUAGGUAACCUGUCCUCGAGUGUGGAAUAACCUGGCGAAAGCCGAGCUAAUACCGCAUGAUGUCCUCGGAUCUUCGGCUUUGAGGACCAAAGGUGGCGAGCUUCGAGCGCUGCCGCUUGAGAAGGGGCCUGCGUCCCAUUAGCUAGUUGGUGGGGUAACGGCCUACCAAGGCUACGAUGGGUAGCCGGGCUGAGAGGCUGUCCGGCCACACUGGAACUGAGACACGGUCCAGACUCCUACGGGAGGCAGCAGUGGGGAAUAUUGCGCAAUGGGGGAAACCCUGACGCAGCGACGCCGCGUGGGCGAUGAAGGCCUCGGUCGUAAAGACCUCGUCGAGCGGACGAACCGUCGCGAGCUCUAACAUAGCUCGCAUCUGACGGUACCGCUAGAGGAAGCCCGGCUAACUCCGUGCCACG
This 509-nucleotide ribosomal RNA is filed under the name uncultured soil bacterium. RNAcentral's name for it is "bacterial SSU rRNA". It matches the Rfam family "Bacterial small subunit ribosomal RNA", at positions 26 to 512 of the family's 1533-position model. The record is from RNAcentral.